GGUAAAUGAAGCUGUUGAUCAGUUACGUACCAUUAAAAUGUCAAUUCCAUUAGCUGCAUUUGAACGAGCUGCUGAGCAGUUAGUUACCGCUUAUUCGGAUUCCUUUCAGGAUCGCAAUGCUCGAGGUGAACAGCGAGUAGACAAUCCAUUUCGGAGUCCUUAGGUUUGCCAAUUAACAAAAUUUGUUUAAUGUCAAUUGCUCAAGCCGGUUGUUCAAAUUGGCAACCUACGUUAAAAUACUCUACAAAUGUGUUGGAAGGAAUGAGAUUGUCUCUGAAAAAAUGGUUUUUUGGACCAUAAAACACUGGGCAACAAGAUUUAGAAGAGAGCAAUAACGUGGAAAGAAUAAUCGAGGAAAAAGAGAAUAUUUCUCCAUCCGAAACGAAUAAUGACGUUUCCCGGUCCAGCGGCCACCCUGGACUUAAAGCAUCCUUAUAAAUUGAUUUUCCCAGUAUUUUUUAUGAUUUGAGAAAGUUAUACUAUUUUCUAAGAAAUUAAGGACCCCAAGGAACUAAAUGCACCACUCAAUACCUUCGGCUGGGUUGCUUCUAUAGGAUCAUACGAGGAAGCUGAGGCCCGUCUACAUUCUUUAAAAAUAGCAGAAUACGCGUUCACAAAUGAGAACGAUGUGACUCGAGAAGAAAAAGCUGCCGAAGUCGUGCGUAAGAUAAAACAAAGUAAGCUGAAACUAAGCGCUGAGACCGAAGCUGCUACGCACAUAGUUUCAGAUUUAAGCUCUGAUACUGAAUCGAUGCAGAAAAAACAGCUCUUCAGAUGAUGGCGGUCGUAAAAUAAAUAAUAAACCUUUUAACACUUCUGGAAAACCUGCACAAUCUGAUCGUGGCAAAGCACAUGCUACACAACUUUAAAAGACUAAAGGCACUUACAAAUCACAUCAAGAAAAGGGACAUGCUAAUCGCUUUAGUACGUUAGCCGGAGCCGAUAAAAAUAAUAAACCUUCAAGCUCAAAAGUGAAUAAACCAAAUGCCAAAAGUCAGCUCCCUGCUAAGGAAUUAUUUGUACUUGAGAAUUCAGACGAAAGUGGCGAAUUAAGUCUAAAUGAGUUUGAUAAAUCGGUGAUAAAUACCAAAUUAUCAACCGAUGGCGUAUAUACAGAUUCAGAAGGCGAAAAUAUUUGCAAAGUUAGAAACAGCAAUGAUUUUAAACUAAAACCUGAUAAACUUCAAAAUUCAAAAAACUGCACACGCAAAGCUCUCAUCAUAAAAAGUCAAAAGAGAAAAUGGAACAAAAGCUUGGAAAACUAACAUUUUCUAAGAGUGACCAACGGUUAAAGGAGAAAAAACAACACAGAUCAUACUCGUAGAUAGGCAAAAUAACUUCAGUUAAUUAAAAUAACAGACUUCAUAUUUUGUUAACAAUGCUACUCGUGGUUUAUGUAUUCAGACCUGCUGUGGGAAAUUGACCAUGAUUUGCAAAAGGUAAAAGUAGACUUAGAAGACAUAAAAGCGAAUGAAAGUUUGGAGAAGGAAGCUCGACAUAAAGCCCAGAUUGAACAGGGGAUUCAAGAUAAUUUUAUUAUAAAAUAUAAUUUAGAUUUACCCUUUCAGAACAAACUAGAGUUUGAUCUAUUCUAUGAAAAUCUUGCAACAGUUCAAUAAUUUCGAAAUUAAUUUAAAAAAUCUUGAAACAAAUUGUUCGAUAGAGCCUAUGUUGCGAGUCGCACAAUAGCUAUAAUCUUAAAAAAAUAUUUGUCUUGUGAUUUGGCUAUGCCAUUUACGGCGAGAAAAAGAAUGCCCAAUAAGUUCAUAAUGAAAGCAACGAUUUUCUACAACUGCUUACUAGGGGUUCUUUCUGAAAAGCCUCGAGAUCAAAACGGAAAAUUCAUGACGGAAUCAGUCGUUGCAAAUUUGCUGGGAAAUGUCCUCAGUAAUGCCAAAUACUGGAAAGGAAACCGUAAGAGGUCUCGUAUUGUGACGACGGAUGGUAGUGAGAACGAUGAUAUUGGUGGAGGUUUGCGCUCAUAAAUAUACAUGCGUAUGUAGAUACAAAUAUAUCUGUAAAUAUAUUUAUUAAUGUAUAUUAAACUUAAAUAUAUAUGUUAUCUAUUGUAUACCUGGAUGUAUAACAAGCUUACAUUUUAAUGAAGUUUUGUGUAAGUCUUAAGUCAAGAUGUAAAUGGUGUAAUAAAACUCUUUUAUUAUACUAAUCAUAAUGUUAUAAAAUUGAAACGCAAAUGAUUAAAAACUUGUAUAGCACUAAUUGAUUCAUACCGGGCAACGGUCGGGCAGCCCAGCAAUAUCACGGCCAUGCUCUAUGGCCAGACGCUGGCCAGCGCAGCGUGACGAUGCUGGUCGGAUUCCGGCCAGAAACCCCGGCCACAGCCCGACUUAAAGUCGG
Molecule: long non-coding RNA, 2358 nt
Organism: Belonocnema kinseyi
Lineage: Eukaryota; Metazoa; Arthropoda; Insecta; Hymenoptera; Cynipidae
Exons: 8
Source: RefSeq, a predicted model, not a curated record